CUUGAAAGCUAGGGGUUUAUAAACAAAACUCUUACAAAAGACCAAGUCCUUUAUGAAGAAUAUUCCUUUAAUGUCAAUGAGGUAAUAAUAGAACAAUCAAGUCUAGGAAAGUGAUGGUUAACCUUUUAGAGACUGAGUGUCAUGCCUCAUCUCCAGAGACUGUGUGCUGUGCCCUACCCCCCCCGGGGUGCCAGAGAAUGAAUUCUUUGUUCACCUUGCCAAAAAGAAUGAGAAAGAAGAAACAAGGAGGGCCCCAUUUUGGAGACAGAAAGCAAGAUACAGUCUUGAUUGCCCAGUGUUGA
RNAcentral lists this long non-coding RNA (302 nucleotides) under Monodelphis domestica (gray short-tailed opossum). Its description in RNAcentral is "lncRNA (ENSMODG00000036047.2)". Lineage: Eukaryota; Metazoa; Chordata; Mammalia; Didelphimorphia; Didelphidae. The record is from RNAcentral.